RNA transcript from Quercus robur (English oak), 4768 nucleotides. RefSeq lists it as uncharacterized. The transcript is spliced from 4 exons. The record is from RefSeq and is a predicted model, not a curated record. NCBI's taxonomy places the organism in Eukaryota, Viridiplantae, Streptophyta, Magnoliopsida, Fagales, Fagaceae.
CUUUGUCUUUCUCCCUUAUCUCUAUUUUCCUCCACACACUUCUUCACAUUUUGUCUUCUUUCAAGUUUCAACACCUCUCUCUAUCUAACUCUAUUUCACAUAUUGCAUGCUUAACCCAAUACCCACACUUCAACAAAGAGAUUUCUGUGAGUCAUAGUUUCCUUCGCACAAUAAGGCUUCGCCUCAUGGCUCAUCAAGAAUCAAGACCCACUUCGGUUCCACUAAGGAAAAAUAGAGAGAUCUCAGCAAACCUAAAGAAAAUGAAGAACAACAAAGAGAGAGAGAGUUGGUCGCCGGUCAUUGACUGAAGAUUGGAUCAGAGCAGAGCAAAGGAAAGGGAGAUACUGCAUAAGGGAAGAUUUCGCUAUAUUCCGAUGUUUUUUUUUUUUUUUUUUUUUUUUGCAUUUUAAGGAAUCCUAAUUUGCAAGGGAUUGAUUUUUUUUUUUUUUUUCCUUAGUUAAUUUGUGAAUUUGUUUUAGAUUUUUUUGUGUUUGGAUUUGGAAAUUUGUUAUUGAAUUGAACUUGGGCUAGACGCUAUUUUAUUGUGGUCUUUGUAGCAAUUAAUUUAUCAAAGGGUUCUGGGGCUGCAAAUGGCGAUCUGCCUUGAUUUAUCAAAGGGUAAAAUUGAGUUUUUAAGAAAAUAGAGUGGGAAAUUUAGGAAAUAGUCGGUGGCUUUCCAACAGUAAUGUUUAAAGGCGCUUUCGCUUUUGCUUUUGCAAAAGCAACUGAAAGCUGUCUACACAUAAAGUGUUCAUCCUUCACAUUUCAAAACGCAACUUUUUGGAGAAAGCAACUUUUAAAAGCAUUGCCAAACGCACAUAAAUUUUUUGUCUCAAAAAGCGCGUUUUAGCUUCUAAAAGCUGAAACAAACACACACAUUUUGCGCAUUUUCCAAUGGGUGCAUUUUUUAGUGGGUUCCAUGCACUAUUCACGGGACCCGCAAGUACUUUUUUCAGUAAAAACAACGUUAAAACUGAGUCUCACAGUACUAUUCACACAUUUAAAAAUUAUUUGCUACAGUGUUUUUAGUUUUUAGUAAUAAGCGGUAUUCAAACAAACCCUUAGUAGUUAAUACCUAUGUACCUGUUCAACAACUUUGAGAUUUUUAAAUUAGGUCUUUUUUUAUAUAUUUAAAUAUUAAUUAAAUAAUGUUUAUUACUUUUUUUUUUUUUUUUUUUUGCUUUUUGAGAUACAAAAUUACUAAUUAAGUUUUUGUAUUUAAAUUUUAAACCUACACAAAUAAAAAUUAAUUUAUUACAUAGUUCAAUAAGUUAGUAUCAUUAUUAUACAAAUGAGUUAGUAUGAUAUAUAUCAAAUUACCAAUAGGUGUAAUAAUCUAUAUAUAUAAUAAUAGGUGAAGCAGAGAAAAACUUAAAUUCUACUUAAAUUAGAAUUCCUAAUUAGAGUUCUAAUUUUGUGCCAUGUGUCUAGAUUUAUCCUUCUAAGUGUUCAAUUCAAAUCUGAAAUUGGAGUCCAAUUUUGCCCCAUCUCUUAAGAAAUGUUGUCCUCCACUCCUUUUUUCCUGAAUAAAAUGCUAGGUUCACCUUCCCUUCUAGAAAUAUGUGUUUUACAUUAAAUGUUGUGCUAUUUUUUUUUUUUUUUUUUGGCUAAAUAAAACCUGUUGAUAUCAGACACACCUGGUUCACCUCCCCUUCUACAAUAAUCAAACGCAAAUUAGAAAUACAGCUCCCCACAGAUCCAAAACUCUUAGAUUCAACACCUCCAGAACUCACACUUCGACCCCAACAACACCCACGAUGACUUCUUGGAGCCUUCAUGUUCUUGGCCUGACCUCAACCCUAAAACCCCGUGGGACCUCAAGCCUAGAGACCUCUCCGAUGAAAUGCCACCGUCUAACCCUAACAACAAUGUUCCUUACCAGUUCGACCAUGACUCUUCCACCCUUGCUUCCAAGCUCCGUAACCACCAGAUUUCCAGCGCUACUAAUUCUUCCGCCGCAACUGUUGCCACUGCCAUCAUGCUCCAGCAGCAACUCUUCAUGUCUCGCAGUGCCAACGCCGAAGUUGAAGAGUCUGGUCUGAUACAGAUGCCGCUUUCUUUGGGUGCCUCCGAUGAUGUCGUUGAUGGGUCAUCAUCUUUCAAGUCUCCCAAUACGGUGGAAAGGGAAAUCCUUGGAAGCAAUCCAAGUCUGAGUAGAAGCAGCACUACCAAGUAUAGUUUCUACUUUAUUGGAACCAUCACCGGUGAUUGAUUUUACAAUCUGCAUACUAUGCUGCCAACCAUGUCUUCUUUGCUGGAUGCUACUUCUUUCUUUACAACAAUCUGAACCUAAACAGGGUUUGCUAUGACUUGAGCUACAUUGUCUAAGGAAGUCAAACACUUUAGUGAGAGUUUUGUUUUUUUGUUUAUGUGUCCUUAGUAUGUUUAAUUAUUUGGUUGAUUUAUUAAUUGACAUGCUAUAUCAAUAUAGCUAUUCUGACAUAUAGAAAAAAAGCCCAUUUAAAACUAUACAAUGUUUAAGUUAAAAAGUGAAAGGUUAUACCGUAUGAAACAAACACGUCUAAAACAAUUAAAGCCAGAUGCUAAAUCUCACACAAACAUUAAACCCACUCAUCCAAAGCUAACUGCCAUUAAAACUACCUAUUUUCUUCCUCAAAUAAACAUAUUUUUCAAUAUGUUUAGGCUUUUGGGUUAGAUUUGAUUAGUUUAUAUUAGAUUUCCUUUUCACUGUUCAAGUGAUGUCACAAGGCAGUAAGAGAGAAGAGCAAGAAAAAAUAUUGUACACAAAGAAGGUAUAGGCAAUAGGGAGAGGCUUUGGUUGAACUUUGAAGUUAACAAAGAAGACAGAUUAGUCUCUUUCUCUCUAUAUCUCUUUCUUUAUUUUAUUUUUUUUUUGAAAAAAUUUUUGUGCUUUUUUUUUAGUUCUAAAUUUUAGAUAUCAUAGUUUUUUAUUGCGCAAAUGUUACUAUUUUAUUAUUUAUUGGCAUUUUUUUAGGCACCCAUGAAAUAUCUUCAACCCACAAUUCAAAUGUUAACAGGUACUAGAUCUCUUGGAGAUAGCAAAAGAUAUCACUUUCUUACCCUUUUUCAUAACCAUCAUAACUCCAAAGUCAAAAUAGAGCAACGUCUUUGCCAAACAAACUUCUUCUUCUCUUAUUGUGUAUGCUGUGUUUAUAUUCAAUUGCUACUCGAAUCAAUUUCUUCUAAAGAAAAACUCAUACAAUAUAUCCCCUGUUUUUUUAAGCGGGGCAGGUUAGUAUGAUUUCAAGAGAGAGGAAUAUGCAAAUAUGUCUAUUUUCUUAAUGCCAAUCUCUUUCUCUCUCCUUGGAAGACUGACAAUUAAGGGGUUUUAUUUUUUUAAAAGGCACUAUUUCGUUUCCCUAUCCUAAAAAACAAUAAAUAUAUAUAUAUAUAUAUAUAUAUAUAUUGUUUUUGUAUUUGAAUAAAUGCUUGAAUGUGUGAUGAAACCCAAAUACCUAAAUAUUUAUUGCAAGUUUGGGUAUCUUAGUAUCUAUUUUUUUUGUUAGUUUUUAUCACUCAUGUUGUUGAAUAAUUUUUUUUGUUGAAUUAUUUUUGAAAAUUUGUGCACUCAUCUUAAUUUCACUGAAUUUUGCAUAUAAAUUCAUGUUGCUAUUGCAUAUAACCUCAUGUUUAAGUUGUUUUUCGUAUUAAAUAAGUAGUGUGGUACUCAGUUAAGGUACAUCAAGAUGUUUCUUCAUAUUUAGGUGUGGGUAGACUCAUUACAUGACUUUAAGUGUCCAUAUUCUAAAUUUCCAACAUAUGUGCACCUUGACAGCAAGUGUAAACUAUAAUAUGGUGACAUUUACUAGUUGCGUUCAUAACUAGGACUCUUUCUUUUUUUUCUUUUUUUUUCUUUCGUACAUGCUUGCUUUUUGUUUCCUUUUAAAGGUUGGAUGGAAUACCAUGUUGUCUUUGGCAAGAUGCUAUAUGGGAUGGAUGUUGUCUACAAGAGUGAAGUAGAAGGAUAUCUUCCUUUAUUGUUUUGGGAUGUUAUUGGUCAAAUAUAUAUAAAUUUUACCAUUUACCUAGAGAUGGUGUCUUUAAGAAAAGUCUUCAAAAAUCUUAUCCACAGUCCAUCUAUUUCAAAGUUAUUUUCUUAGAACAAUGGUCACAGUCCAUAUGCAGUUUAUUAACAAAUUAACUAUUUUUAAAUGGAUAACAUUAGAACUACGUUUUGAUCCAAUUUAGUAUUGGUUUCUUAUGAGCAUUCAACGUUACAACCUUAUACCCAAUUCUUGAUAUGCAUGUGUUUGCACUUGCACCCAAUUAGGGACCAACAAAUUGGAUAAUUUAUGAUAUAAUAAUCCUUUGAGUUUUAUAGUGCAACUCAAUGCAUCAUUUUAUGUUUUAUGCUAAUGCUAUUUUUUAUGAAUAUUUUAUUUUUUAUUUUGCUAGGUCUUAAUUGCUACUUGGAGCCAGAGAGCAAUUGAAAAAGAGGUAGAGACAAAUAAGAAAAUGAAUAUUGAUGAAACUGAGAAAAGUGCAAAUAUUAUCAAGAUCCUAAUGAAAUAGGAGUUGAUGGAAAAGGACAAUGGUAGGAAGCAUCAAGAAAUUGAAAACCAAAUGUACACAGCUCAAGGAAAGAGCAAGGCAAUGCAGAUUUCUAUUGGUACCAGCUCUUAUCUUUUAAUGAUUGGUAUUGAGAAAAUUCAAUAAUGGAAGACUUGGAUAGGCCUACCAUAGCCACUUCCUUUGCACUUACAUAGGCUUGGACAUUUGAUCUUGAGAGACCAAUUUUUAGUUUUAAUCAGUGCAAGUACAAAAUAAGGAUUGGCUUUAAGGGAUC